This 407-nucleotide ribosomal RNA is filed under the name Verrucomicrobiota bacterium. RNAcentral describes it as "Verrucomicrobia bacterium partial 16S ribosomal RNA". It matches the Rfam family "Bacterial small subunit ribosomal RNA", at positions 355 to 776 of the family's 1533-position model. The record is from RNAcentral. Lineage: Bacteria; Pseudomonadati; Verrucomicrobiota.
UGGGGAAUAUUGGACAAUGGAGGAAACUCUGAUCCAGCAAUUCUGUGUGUGUGAAGAAGGUUUUAGGACUGUAAAACACUUUUAGUAGGGAAGAAAAAAAUGACGGUACCUACAGAAGAAGCAACGGCUAAAUACGUGCCAGCAGCCGCGGUAAUACGUAUGUUGCGAGCGUUAUCCGGAAUUAUUGGGCUUAAAGGGCAUCUAGGCGGUAAGACAAGUUGAAGGUGAAAACCUGUGGCUCAACCAUAGGCUUGCCUACAAAACUGUUGAACUAGAGUACUGGAAAGGUGGGUGGAACUACACGAGUAGAGGUGAAAUUCGUAGAUAUGUGUAGGAAUGCCGAUGAUGAAGAUAACUCACUGGACGGAAACUGACGCUGAAGUGCGAAAGAUAGGGGAGCAAACAGG